AUAUUGCACAAUGGAGGGAACUCUGAUGCAGCAACGCCGCGUGAGUGAAUAAGGUUUUCGGAUCANAAAACUCUGUCAUUGGGGAANAUUAAAUGACGGUACCUAAUGAGGAAGCCCCGGUUAACUACGUACUAGCAGCCGCGGUAAUAUGUAGGGGGCGAGCGUUGUCCGGAAUUACUGGGCGUAAAGGGUACGUAGGCGGCUAUAUAAGUCAGGUGUGAAAUACCAGUGCUUAACACUGGAAUUGCAUUUGAAACUGUGUAGCUUGAGUGCAGGAGAGGAAAGUGGAAUUCCUAGUGUAGCGGUGAAAUGCGUAGAGAUUAGGAGGAACACCAGUGGCGAAGGCGACUUUCUGGACUGUAACUGACGCUGAGGUACGAAAGCGUGGGUAGCGAACA
This 398-nucleotide ribosomal RNA is filed under the name uncultured bacterium. Its description in RNAcentral is "partial 16S ribosomal RNA". It matches the Rfam family "Bacterial small subunit ribosomal RNA", at positions 361 to 774 of the family's 1533-position model. The record is from RNAcentral.